UACGUAGGGGGCAAGCGUUGUCCGGAAUCAUUGGGCGUAAAGCGCGUGUAGGCGGCCCGGUAAGUCCGCUGUGAAAGUCGGGGGCUCAACCCUCGAAUGCCGGUGGAUACUGUCGGGCUAGAGUGCGGGAGAGGCGAGUGGAAUUCCUGGUGUAGCGGUGAAAUGCGCAGAUAUCAGGAGGAACACCAAUUGCGAAGGCAGCUCGCUGGAACGUAACUGACGCUGAGGAGCGAAAGCAUGGGGAGCGAACAGG
This 253-nucleotide ribosomal RNA is filed under the name uncultured bacterium. RNAcentral's name for it is "partial 16S ribosomal RNA". It matches the Rfam family "Bacterial small subunit ribosomal RNA", at positions 524 to 776 of the family's 1533-position model. The record is from RNAcentral.